AGGGGGGUGGGGUGAGGGAGCUGACCCUGCCUCCUGCUGUUUGGUGAUGGCCACACUGGGUGGCCUAGUCACAGAAGUGCUGGAGAGCUCAUCCCAGUGAUGUGCAGGCCGACCAGCCCAGCUACCACCCAGGCCCAGAUCCAGGGCUCUGAGUUGGCCCAUCCCAAAAAUAUAUAUCCUCUGCAAAUGGUUGAGAUGCAUGAGCAGCAGUUCCUGCUGAUCUAAAGCAGCAGGAUCACAAUGACAAGGCGGCAACAGGAUAACCGGGAGCUCCGAUGAGGAUCCAGUAUUGAGGGUGCUGUUGAAGGCAGAGACCUCGAACUAGACUAAUGACUCAUUGCAACGAAUGUUUGCAAGUGAAGACGUGUGGACAGAGGGGGUGCACUGUGGGACACACUGUUCUUCGAUGAGUUUUUUUUAACGUUUUGUUUGUUUUAGGGGUGAAGCAGCAAGGGCAAAGGGUGGAUAUGAGAAGAUUUGGGGAGAUGAGCAGAACUGGGGUGCAUGAUGCGAAACUCACAAUCAAUAAAAAGUUAAAACGAGGGACUAAACCACCAACCAGUCAUGGGUGGUGAUAAAGAUGUUAUUGCAGGACUAGGGUCCACACAAAGACAUGUGCUGCAUGGCAUGUCCCUCCAAAUUGAAACAUUUCUCCAGGAGGAAAGAAGAGACUCUUGCCUGGGAGAACAACAACAACAACAACAACAACAACAACAAAAAAAAAAAAAGGGAAGGUUCUUGAAGACCCCUACCUAACAGGAUAAAAACAACCCUAAGCAGAAAGAGAGAUGCUCUAAAACUAUAUUACAGAGCUAUGGUAACAAGAACAGCAUGGCUCCGGCACAAAAACAGACAUACAGAGCAUCAGAAUAGAAAGAAGGACCCAGAAAUGAAUGUACACGGCUGCAACCACCUAAUUUUUUGACAAUAUAUAUAUAUAUAUGUAUAUAUAUAUAUAUCCCACGCCACAAAUACACACAAGAUAAAUACAUCUUAAUAUAUUUACAUACAAACGCAUAUACAUAGGACAAGGACAUCCUGCUGAACAGCGAUGCAAAAACUAGAUAGCACGUGUGAAAGAAUAAAACUCGAUCCACACAUGUGAGGCUGCACAAAAGUUAGUCAAAUAGGAAGACCAGGAAAAGUGCUUCGAAAGGAUUAGGUAAGGAUUUUCUACAAAGGAUUUCAAUAAGAGGGAAAAUCAUCCCAAGAACUGACAAACGGUGUUACAUGAUGUUAAAAGUGUAUGCGUGGCAAAGGAAAAGCUUACCAGGGUGAAACUUGGAAGUAGGAUAGAGAAAAAUCUGAUGAAGGAUUACCAUCUAAAUAUAAAAGGAACUGCAAUAAAUUAAACACCAAAACAAAAAUAGUUUUGAGAGGGUAGUAGAGACAGAGGCAGAGAGAAAGAGAGGAGAGAGAGAGAGAGAGUAGUAAAGGAGUAGAGGCUAGCCAUGAGCACGUGGAAAAAGAGGGGAAGGGGAAGGGGAGUAGGGAAGGAGAGGGAGCAGGAUCAAGAGGACAGAGCAAGUGCAAGAAAGCAAGAGAGUGAGGAGAGGGGUCAAACAGCCCCUUUUAUAGAGAGCCAGGCACACCUGACUGUUGCCAGGCAACUGUGGGGCGGAGCUUAGACAGAAUGCUAACACAGUCAAAAUGCUUAUCCAGAAAACAAGCAACAGCAAAUGCUGGUGAGGGUGUGGAAAUGGAAACCGAAACUAUAGCAUUUACAGAAAAGAGGCUGGAACAGGAGAUCGCUACGGUGAAUGCGAAAGGUGCAGCUGGUCAGGAUCCAGUACUGCGAAGGUGGGUGAGACACCCGGAACACCGCCAUUGCGCACCUCGUUCUCAGGGCAGAGAGGGUGGAAGGCAAAACCGCAGACCCCCGCCCUUCUGAACACCG
This is a non-coding RNA of Rattus norvegicus (Norway rat), 1897 nucleotides long. NCBI's taxonomy places the organism in Eukaryota, Metazoa, Chordata, Mammalia, Rodentia, Muridae. The record is from RefSeq and is a predicted model, not a curated record.